This 1384-nucleotide ribosomal RNA is filed under the name uncultured bacterium. RNAcentral describes it as "bacterial SSU rRNA". It matches the Rfam family "Bacterial small subunit ribosomal RNA". The record is from RNAcentral.
GAGUUUGAUUCAUGGCUCAGGACGAACGCUGGCGGCGUGCUUAACACAUGCAAGUCGAACGAUGAAGCGGUGCUUGCACCGUGGAUUAGUGGCGAACGGGUGAGUAAUACGUGAGUGACCUACCUUUGACUCUGGGAUAAGCCUGGGAAACUGGGUCUAAUACCGGAUACGACCAAUCUCUGCAUGGGGUGUUGGUGGAAAGCGUUAUGGAGUGGUUUUAGAUGGGCUCACGGCCUAUCAGCUUGUUGGUGAGGUAAUGGCUUACCAAGGCGACGACGGGUAGCCGGCCUGAGAGGGUGACCGGCCACACUGGGACUGAGACACGGCCCAGACUCCUACGGGAGGCAGCAGUGGGGAAUAUUGCACAAUGGGCGCAAGCCUGAUGCAGCGACGCCGCGUGAGGGAUGACGGCCUUCGGGUUGUAAACCUCUGUUAGCAUCGAAGAAGCGAAAGUGACGGUAGGUGCAGAGAAAGCGCCGGCUAACUACGUGCCAGCAGCCGCGGUAAUACGUAGGGCGCGAGCGUUGUCCGGAAUUAUUGGGCGUAAAGAGCUUGUAGGGCGGUUGGUCGCGUCUGCUGUGAAAGGCCGGGGCUUAACUCCGGUUUUGCAGUGGGUACGGGCUAACUAGAGUGCAGUAGGGGAGACUGGAAUUCCUGGUGUAGCGGUGGAAUGCACAGAUAUCAGGAGGAACACCGAUGGCGAAGGCAGGUCUCUGGGCUGUAACUGACGCUGAGAAGCGAAAGCAUGGGGAGCGAACAGGAUUAGAUACCCUGGUAGUCCAUGCCGUAAACGUUGGGCACUAGGUGUGGGGGACAUUCCACGUUUUCCGCGCCGUAGCUAACGCAUUAAGUGCCCCGCCUGGGGAGUACGGCCGCAAGGCUAAAACUCAAAGGAAUUGACGGGGGCCCGCACAAGCGGCGGAGCAUGCGGAUUAAUUCGAUGCAACGCGAAGAACCUUACCAAGGCUUGACAUGCAUUAGAUCGCGUCAGAGAUGGCGUUUCCCUUCGGGGCUGGUGUACAGGUGGUGCAUGGUUGUCGUCAGCUCGUGUCGUGAGAUGUUGGGUUAAGUCCCGCAACGAGCGCAACCCUCGUUCUAUGUUGCCAGCGGUUCGGCCGGGGACUCAUAGGAGACUGCCGGGGUCAACUCGGAGGAAGGUGGGGAUGACGUCAAAUCAUCAUGCCCCUUAUGUCUUGGGCUUCACGCAUGCUACAAUGGCCGGUACAGAGGGUUGCGAUACUGUGAGGUGGAGCUAAUCCCUUAAAGCCGGUCUCAGUUCGGAUUGGGGUCUGCAACUCGACCCCAUGAAGUCGGAGUCGCUAGUAAUCGCAGAUCAGCAACGCUGCGGUGAAUACGUUCCCGGGCCUUGCACACACCGCCCGUC